UUUAUAAAAAAAAAACGGGAAUAGGGAGUGGUGGGUCAAGCUAUGUCGACGGUGGCCACGUCAUGGGGCAUAAAAAAGAGAGGACCCGUUUUCGCAUCAACGUUCUACCCCGUCAUGCUCAUCUCCGCCACCUUAUUCGAUUUCAUCAUCUUACACCGUCAACUGUACAUCGGAAGUAUACUCGGUUCCGUCGUCUCUAUAAUGGGCCUCUACGUGUUUCUCUGGGGCAAGAACAAAGAUAUCGAGGCCGUGGCCAAGUUGUCUUCGCAGAAAGAGAACGACGAACAUGUUAAGACCGUAACUGAAGACGAUGAUACGAGGUUACAAGUUUAAUAUUCAUAUAAUCCUCUGUUUGUUAUUGAAUAAAGCAUGUAUUAUAUAUUAUUAUUGUUAUCUGUUCCUACACGGGAUUCAUCAGACGAUCAUAAUAAUAAUUCUGAUCUCGAUUUUUGUGCA
Molecule: long non-coding RNA, 456 nt
Organism: Tarenaya hassleriana
Lineage: Eukaryota; Viridiplantae; Streptophyta; Magnoliopsida; Brassicales; Cleomaceae
Exons: 2
Source: RefSeq, a predicted model, not a curated record